This 253-nucleotide ribosomal RNA is filed under the name uncultured bacterium. RNAcentral describes it as "partial 16S ribosomal RNA". It matches the Rfam family "Bacterial small subunit ribosomal RNA", at positions 524 to 776 of the family's 1533-position model. The record is from RNAcentral.
UACGUAGGAGGCAAGCGUUGUCCGGAAUUACUGGGCGUAAAGCGCGUGUAGGUGGUGGGACAAGUCUGCUGUGAAAGCGCCUGGCUUAACCGGGCGAGGUCGGCGGAAACUGUCCGACUCGAGGACGGUAGAGGGGGGUGGAAUUCCCGGUGUAGUGGUGAAAUGCGUAGAGAUCGGGAGGAACACCUGUGGCGAAGGCGGCUCACUGGCUCGUAACUGACGCUCAGGCACGACAGCGUGGGGAUCAAACAGG